This 193-nucleotide ribosomal RNA is filed under the name uncultured eukaryote. RNAcentral's name for it is "partial 18S ribosomal RNA". It matches the Rfam family "Eukaryotic small subunit ribosomal RNA", at positions 1208 to 1456 of the family's 1831-position model. The record is from RNAcentral.
GGAAAACUCACCAGGUCCAGACAUAGGAAGGAUUGACAGAUUGAUAGCUCUUUCUUGAUUCUAGUGAUUUGUCUGCUUAAUUGCGUCAACGAACGAGACCUUAACCUGCUAAAUAGGAAUAAGAAUUUUAUUUUUUUAUAUCACUUCUUAGAGGGACUUUGUGUGUCUAACACAAGGAAGUUUAAGGCAAUAA